GUACUCAUUUCAGCAGCACAUAUACUAAAACUGGAAUGAUACAGAGAAAAUUAGCAUGGUCUCUGCACAAGAAUGACACACAAAUUCAUGAAGCAUUCCAUCUUUUU
This is a small nuclear RNA of Hyaena hyaena (striped hyena), 107 nucleotides long. Lineage: Eukaryota; Metazoa; Chordata; Mammalia; Carnivora; Hyaenidae. The record is from RefSeq and is a predicted model, not a curated record.